Molecule: ribosomal RNA, 414 nt
Filed under: Bacillus sp. H5K-29
Lineage: Bacteria; Bacillati; Bacillota; Bacilli; Caryophanales; Bacillaceae
Description: bacterial SSU rRNA
Rfam family: Bacterial small subunit ribosomal RNA
Source: RNAcentral
AAUACAUGCAAGUCGAGCGGAUUGAUGGGAGCUUGCUCCCUGAUAUCAGCGGCGGACGGGUGAGUAACACGUGGGCAACCUGCCUGUAAGACUGGGAUAACUUCGGGAAACCGGAGCUAAUACCGGAUAAUCCUUUUCCUCACAUGAGGAAAAGCUGAAAGACGGUUUCGGCUGUCACUUACAGAUGGGCCCGCGGCGCAUUAGCUAGUUGGUGAGGUAACGGCUCACCAAGGCGACGAUGCGUAGCCGACCUGAGAGGGUGAUCGGCCACACUGGGACUGAGACACGGCCCAGACUCCUACGGGAGGCAGCAGUAGGGAAUCUUCCACAAUGGACGAAAGUCUGAUGGAGCAACGCCGCGUGAGCGAUGAAGGCCUUCGGGUCGUAAAGCUCUGUUGUUAGGGAAGAACAAGU